GAUUUGUUGAUUCGUCCGAAUCUUAAAAAGCUAUACGGACAUAAAAAAACAUACUUGGAUAUCAAAAAUCCAAGUGGCGAAGC
RNAcentral lists this non-coding RNA (83 nucleotides) under unclassified sequences. RNAcentral describes it as "RAGATH-28 RNA". It matches the Rfam family "RAGATH-28 RNA". Rfam says of the family: Clostridiales (Firmicutes). Nearby to self-cleaving ribozyme genes The record is from Rfam by way of RNAcentral.